GAUGAACGCUGGUGGCAUGCUUAACACAUGCAAGUCGAACGGUAGCACGGUAGUAGCAAUACUAUGGGUGACGAGUGGCGGACGGGUGAGUAAUGCAUAGGAAUCUGCCUUAUAGUGGGGGAUAACGUAGGGAAACUUACGCUAAUACCGCAUAAUACGAACUGUUAAAGUGGGCGCAAGCUCACGCUAUAAGAUGAGCCUAUGUUGGAUUAGCUAGUUGGUAGGGUAAAGGCCUACCAAGGCGACGAUCCAUAGCUGUUCUGAGAGGAAGACCAGC
This 277-nucleotide ribosomal RNA is filed under the name uncultured bacterium. Its description in RNAcentral is "partial 16S ribosomal RNA". It matches the Rfam family "Bacterial small subunit ribosomal RNA", at positions 28 to 308 of the family's 1533-position model. The record is from RNAcentral.